RNAcentral lists this ribosomal RNA (686 nucleotides) under Sphingobacterium mizutaii. RNAcentral's name for it is "bacterial SSU rRNA". It matches the Rfam family "Bacterial small subunit ribosomal RNA", at positions 53 to 729 of the family's 1533-position model. Lineage: Bacteria; Pseudomonadati; Bacteroidota; Sphingobacteriia; Sphingobacteriales; Sphingobacteriaceae. The record is from RNAcentral.
ACAUGCAAGUCGGACGGGAUCCAUCGGUAGCUUGCUACCGAUGGUGAGAGUGGCGCACGGGUGCGUAACGCGUGAGCAACCUGCCCAUAUCAGGGGGAUAGCCCGGAGAAAUCCGGAUUAACACCGCAUGACACUGCUUUCCGGCAUCGGGAGGUAGUCAAAUAUUCAUAGGAUAUGGAUGGGCUCGCGUGACAUUAGCUAGUUGGUGGGGUAACGGCCCACCAAGGCGACGAUGUCUAGGGGCUCUGAGAGGAGAAUCCCCCACACUGGUACUGAGACACGGACCAGACUCCUACGGGAGGCAGCAGUAAGGAAUAUUGGUCAAUGGGGGCAACCCUGAACCAGCCAUGCCGCGUGCAGGACGACUGCCCUAUGGGUUGUAAACUGCUUUUGUUAGGGAAUAAACCCCGCUACGUGUAGCGGGCUGAAUGUACCUAAAGAAUAAGGAUCGGCUAACUCCGUGCCAGCAGCCGCGGUAAUACGGAGGAUCCGAGCGUUAUCCGGAUUUAUUGGGUUUAAAGGGUGCGUAGGCGGCACUUUAAGUCAGGGGUGAAAGACGGCAGCUCAACUGUCGCAGUGCCCUUGAUACUGAAGUGCUUGAAUGCGGUUGAAGACGGCGGAAUGAGACAAGUACCCGGUGAAAUGCAUAGAUAUGUCUCAGAACACCCAUUGCGAAUGCAGCUGUC